GAUGAACGCUGGCGGCGUGCCUAAUACAUGCAAGUCGAGCGAACAGAUGAGGAGCUUGCUCCUCUGACGUUAGCGGCGGACGGGUGAGUAGCACGUGGAUAACCUACCUAUAAGACUGGGAUAACUACGGGAAACCGGAGCUAAUACCGGAUAAUAUAUUGAACCGCAUGGUUCAAUAGUGAAAGACGGUUUUGCUGUCACUUAUAGAUGGAUCCGCGCCGCAUUAGCUAGUUGGUAAGGUAACGGCUUACCAAGGCAACGAUGCGUAGCCGACCUGAGAGGGUGAUCGGCCACACUGGAACUGAGACACGGUCCAGACUCCUACGGGAGGCAGCAGUAGGGAAUCUUCCGCAAUGGGCGAAAGCCUGACGGAGCAACGCCGCGUGAGUGAUGAAGGUCUUCGGAUCGUAAAACUCUGUUAUUAGGGAAGAACAAAUGUGUAAGUAACUAUGCACGUCUUGACGGUACCUAAUCAGAAAGCCACGGCUAACUACGUG
This 497-nucleotide ribosomal RNA is filed under the name uncultured bacterium. Its description in RNAcentral is "partial 16S ribosomal RNA". It matches the Rfam family "Bacterial small subunit ribosomal RNA", at positions 28 to 507 of the family's 1533-position model. The record is from RNAcentral.